ACGAACGCUGGCGGCGUGCUUAACCCCUGCAAGUCGAACGGAAAGGCCCUGCUUUUGUGGGGUGCUCGAGUGGCGAACGGGUGAGUAACACGUGAGUAACCUGCCCUUGACUUUGGGAUAACUUCAGGAAACUGGGGCUAAUACCGGAUAGGAGCUCCUGCUGCAUGGUGGGGGUUGGAAAGUUUCGGCGGUUGGGGAUGGACUCGCGGCUUAUCAGCUUGUUGGUGGGGUAGUGGCUUACCAAGGCUUUGUCGGGUAGCCGGCCUGAGAGGGUGACCGGCCACAUUGGGACUGAGAUACGGCCCAGACUCCUACGGGAGGCAGCAGUGGGGAAUAUUGCACAAUGGGCGGAAGCCUGAUGCAGCAACGCCGCGUGCGGGAUGACGGCCUUCGGGUUGUAAACCGCUUUCGCCUGUGACGAAGCGUGAGUGACGGUAAUGGGUAAAGAAGCACCGGCUAACUACGUG
RNAcentral lists this ribosomal RNA (467 nucleotides) under uncultured bacterium. Its description in RNAcentral is "partial 16S ribosomal RNA". It matches the Rfam family "Bacterial small subunit ribosomal RNA", at positions 29 to 507 of the family's 1533-position model. The record is from RNAcentral.